Molecule: ribosomal RNA, 497 nt
Filed under: uncultured bacterium
Lineage: Bacteria
Description: partial 16S ribosomal RNA
Rfam family: Bacterial small subunit ribosomal RNA
Source: RNAcentral
GAUGAACGCUGGCGGCGUGCCUAAUACAUGCAAGUCGAGCGAACAGACGAGGAGCUUGCUCCUCUGACGUUAGCGGCGGACGGGUGAGUAACACGUGGAUAACCUACCUAUAAGACUGGGAUAACUUCGGGAAGCCGGAGCUAAUACCGGAUAAUAUAUUGAACCGCAUGGUUCAAUAGUGAAAGACGGUUUUGCGGUCACUUAUAGAUGGAUCCGCGCCGCAUUAGCUAGUUGGUAAGGUAACGGCUUACCAAGGCGACGAUGCGUAGCCGACCUGAGAGGGUGAUCGGCCACACUGGAACUGGGACACGGUCCAGACUCCUACGGGAGGCAGCAGUAGGGAAUCUUCCGCAAUGGGCGAAAGCCUGACGGAGCAACGCCGCGUGAGUGAUGGCGGUCUUCGGAUCGUAAAACUCUGUUAUUAGGGGAGAACAAAUGUGUAAGUAACUAUGCACUUCUUGACGGUACCUAAUCAGAAAGCCCCGGCUAACUACGUG